GGUGAAGUGUCCGAGUGGCUUAAGGAGCACGCCUGGAAAGUGUGUAUACGUUUAUAGCGUAUCGAGGGUUCGAAUCCCUCUUUCACCGCCA
Molecule: transfer RNA, 91 nt
Filed under: Acinetobacter sp.
Lineage: Bacteria; Pseudomonadati; Pseudomonadota; Gammaproteobacteria; Moraxellales; Moraxellaceae
Also listed under: 26 other names
Description: tRNA-Ser
Rfam family: tRNA
About the family: Transfer RNA (tRNA) molecules are approximately 80 nucleotides in length. Their secondary structure includes four short double-helical elements and three loops (D, anti-codon, and T loops).
Source: RNAcentral